Long non-coding RNA from Magnolia sinica, 1273 nucleotides. RefSeq lists it as uncharacterized. The record is from RefSeq and is a predicted model, not a curated record. NCBI's taxonomy places the organism in Eukaryota, Viridiplantae, Streptophyta, Magnoliopsida, Magnoliales, Magnoliaceae. The transcript is spliced from 4 exons.
AUCACACAACACUCUAAAGGCUCAACUACUAGGAAAAAGAAGCUUAUUAUGAUGUUUUGGAGUUUAUAUUAUUGGAUGCAACAACAACAUCUAUGUAAAAUUUAUAUUAUGCCAUUCUCUCAUAGGUUGCCGAUAAUGGAGAGAAAGCUAGGGAGAUACAAGCUAAAGUUCUUGAGCAUGUGGAACUCUUGAAAUCACUUCUAGAGGUUUGACUAUAUUGAACGAGAUUGCUGAGCUUGUGGCCUUGGUUGCAAUUUUGAAUUUUAGAGGAUUCAAGACAAUAAGGAAGAGGCUUUGCUGAUCUUCCAUUCUGAAGAAAAUCAGGUUGGUUCACUCAUCAGUCGUGUCUAGCAUACAAAACUAAUGUGUAGCUAGAGAGAAAAAAAAAAGAGAAGAUUUUUUUAUUCUUAGCAUUCCACUAUUUUGUAUGCUAUGAACCACCAUGAAUUGACCAGCCUAAAAUAGUGGAUCUUAGCAAUCCACUAUUUUAUGCCCAGUAUGCAAUUUCUAAGUUUUUAAAAUAGUGGAUCUGCUUAUUUCCUUAGCUUUCUUUUCUUUCCUGCAAUGCCCUACCAAUUUAAAACUAUAUCAUCUGCAACCACGGGGCCUUGUUGCUAUUGUAGACCUUAUUUAACCAUCAAUUGGAUUAUGAGCCACAAUUAAUUGUUUUAAAUUUCCGUUGUUCUAGGGCUCGCCAUCAAUUGGAUGGUUGGGAUUUUGGAUGGUAUGGUUUUAGUAUUGUUGGACCGCUGGAGGAAUGUCUUGUUUAUUAAUGGCGACAAUAAUUGUGGCCUUGCAAACUCAACCAUCAGAAUAAUUUGGCCUUUUCUGAGAAGGUUUUUGCUUCCAAAAUUUCUUUUUCUAUUACCUAUACACAGCAUCAUAAAGAACUAUUAUGCAUAUUGUAAUUUACAUGAAUAUUUCACAGGUCCUUCAAGCCCAUUCUAGCCAGCUCAUCUCCCACCAACUUUAUGAGGAAUUGAGAAGGUUGCAGGCAUCAUCUGUGCAUGCUAAUCCAAGACUGUAAAAUGGUGGAGCUACAGAUUCAUCAACACAUGAUGCAUCAUAUCUGAUUAUUCACUGGCCUCUUCAGAUCAACAGAAAAUAAUCUUUUGUAGCAUCUUUGUCCAAACACAGUUCAAAAUUACAUUGCGAACCUUGCUGGGAACAAAACUCUAGUUCAGCCUGUGCCUGCAUUUAACGUCAUUAAUGGAGGAUCACAUGGUUUCACUAUUAACCUGAAUUUUGCGAACCUUGCUAGGAACAUAACUCG